AUGGCAUCGCCGUCACCGUGGCCUGAAAAGCUCCUCGGUCCCAUCAUCGCCGGCCUCCGCGCAACGUGCCGUUCGUGCCCCAGCGUUCCAUCGCCGCCGCCGUGGUCCGAACUCCCACUGGACCUCCUAGGCCUCAUCGUCGCCGAGCUCCCAGACCCGGCCGACCGCGCCCACUUCAGCUCCGUGUGCCGUUCCUGGCGCUCGGCCCCCUACCCCGACACACGGCAGCUACCGUGGGUCGACGCUGUGUGCCGUUCCUGGUACUCCGUUUCGUCUCCCACCUUCGAUCAGCGUCGACCGCCUACCAAUAUCGUCACCCCCGACCUCCCAACGCCAGCCACCACCAUGGCGCCAUAUCUGGCGCUCGGUCUUCUCCCGGCGGCGGCAACAUCCGUGGGUCGUGCUCCCGGGCGGCUUCUUCCUCGAAGACCUCCCUCCGCAGUUGUCCGACGUCUGGCCGGAACCGACCGCCUCCUUCCCCGAGAACCUGCGGUGCGUCGGCUCCACCGGCAGCUGGCUCGCCCUCGACCGCACGGACGGCGAGGGAAGGCAUGCCUACUUCUUGCACGAUCCUUUCUCUAG
This 582-nucleotide ribosomal RNA is filed under the name Triticum aestivum (bread wheat). RNAcentral's name for it is "partial small subunit ribosomal RNA". Lineage: Eukaryota; Viridiplantae; Streptophyta; Magnoliopsida; Poales; Poaceae. The record is from RNAcentral.